CGGCGACGCUAUUUAGCCGGGCGCGGCCGCUCCGGCACCUUCACCCAUCAGCAGCAGCUACCGACUGGUCCAGCACACUCUCUCGCCUCACGCAAUGGCUGCCUCCACCAUGGCGAUCUCCUCCACCAUGGCCGGCACCCCCAUCAAGGUGGGCUCCUUCGGCGAGGGCCGCAUCACCAUGCGCAAGACCGCGGCCAAGCCCAAGGUGGCGGCGUCCGGCAGCCCGUGGUACGGCCCCGACCGCGUCAAGUACCUCGGCCCCUUCUCCGGCGAGCCCCCGAGCUACCUGACUGGCGAGUUCCCCGGCGACUACGGCUGGGACACCGCUGGGCUGUCCGCUGACCCCGAGACCUUCGCCAAGAACCGCGAGUUGGAGGUCAUCCACUCCCGCUGGGCCAUGCUCGGCGCGCUCGGCUGCGUCUUCCCCGAGCUGCUCGCCCGCAACGGCGUCAAGUUCGGCGAGGCCGUCUGGUUCAAGGCCGGCUCCCAGAUCUUCAGCGAGGGCGGCCUCGACUACCUCGGCAACCCCAGCCUUAUCCAUGCGCAGAGCAUCCUCGCCAUCUGGGCCUGCCAGGUCGUGCUCAUGGGCGCCGUCGAGGGCUACCGCAUUGCCGGCGGCCCACUCGGCGAGGUCGUCGACCCGCUCUACCCCGGCGGCAGCUUCGACCCCCUCGGCCUGGCCGACGACCCUGAGGCCUUCGCCGAGCUCAAGGUCAAGGAGCUCAAGAACGGCCGCCUCGCCAUGUUCUCCAUGUUCGGAUUCUUCGUCCAGGCCAUCGUCACCGGCAAGGGCCCGCUCGAGAACCUGGCCGACCACCUCGCCGACCCAGUCAACAACAACGCCUGGGCCUACGCCACCAACUUCGUCCCCGGCAACUAAGCUCGCCAUUCGCCUCUGCAACUCCAUUGUCUUCCGGCCGGGAGGGGCGUACGUGGAUUGGUUGAUGCUGCAAGCGAGCUGCCGCAUGCGUGUCUUGUUUCACGUUGCAUUUCAGGGGCAAGUCGAGAUGAUGAGUCGGCGUUGUACACUAAGAUGAUGUUUGUGCAAUAGUAGUGGUUUUGUUCC
This 1066-nucleotide long non-coding RNA is filed under the name Setaria viridis. RNAcentral describes it as "long non-coding RNA (SVIR_LNC002329)". The record is from RNAcentral. Lineage: Eukaryota; Viridiplantae; Streptophyta; Magnoliopsida; Poales; Poaceae.